Molecule: non-coding RNA, 135 nt
Organism: Triticum aestivum (bread wheat)
Lineage: Eukaryota; Viridiplantae; Streptophyta; Magnoliopsida; Poales; Poaceae
Source: Rfam
GAAGUACUCCCUCUGUCCCAAAAUUUUUGUCGUAGAUUUGUCUAAAUACGAAUGUAUCAAGUCACAUUUUAUUAUUAGAUACAUCCGUAUCUAGACAAAUAUAAGACAAGAAUUUUGGGACGCAGGGAGUAAUAC